AUGGAUGAGGACGACCACCGGGACCUCCACAGCGACGUUGACGCCCCGCACAUGGUUGAGCUGGACGGAAAAACGCCGAACUGGCUCAGCAACCACGUCGUGUACAAGGGCCAACUCCACUACGGCUCCUCAGAUCCUCAUCAGGCAAGAAGAAGUGCCAUCACUGUAGGUGCCCUCCUUCCAUGGACGAGGAGGACAUUGACCUGGACCUUGACGGCGACGUCGUCCAGCCCACACAAGGUCGCUGCCACCCAAUAA
Molecule: ribosomal RNA, 258 nt
Filed under: Triticum aestivum (bread wheat)
Lineage: Eukaryota; Viridiplantae; Streptophyta; Magnoliopsida; Poales; Poaceae
Description: partial small subunit ribosomal RNA
Source: RNAcentral